UGAUGAUGGUGAGGGUAGUUUUUGAGCAUAAUUUUAAAUCUCUCCCAAGCUUGGUAAAGAUUCUCUUAUUCUUUCUGUCUAAAACUCAGGAUCUCACUUCUCAAACA
Capsicum annuum is the source of this 107-nucleotide non-coding RNA. The record is from Rfam. NCBI's taxonomy places the organism in Eukaryota, Viridiplantae, Streptophyta, Magnoliopsida, Solanales, Solanaceae.